Molecule: ribosomal RNA, 482 nt
Filed under: uncultured bacterium
Lineage: Bacteria
Description: partial 16S ribosomal RNA
Rfam family: Bacterial small subunit ribosomal RNA
Source: RNAcentral
AUUGAACGCUGGCGGCAUGCCUUACACAUGCAAGUCGAACGGUAACGGGCCUUCGGGUGCCGACGAGUGGCGAACGGGUGAGUAAUACAUCGGAACGUGCCCGAUCGUGGGGGAUAACGAGGCGAAAGCUCUGCUAAUACCGCAUACGAUCUACGGAUGAAAGCAGGGGACCGCAAGGCCUUGCGCGGACGGAGCGGCCGAUGGCAGAUUAGGUAGUUGGUGGGAUAAAAGCUUACCAAGCCGACGAUCUGUAGCUGGUCUGAGAGGAUGAUCAGCCACACUGGGACUGAGACACGGCCCAGACUCCUACGGGAGGCAGCAGUGGGGAAUUUUGGACAAUGGGCGCAAGCCUGGUCCAGCCAUGCCGCGUGCAGGAUGAAGGCCUUCGGGUUGUAAACUGCUUUUGUACGGAACGAAAAGCCUUCUUUUAAUACAGGAGGGUCAUGACGGUACCGUAAGAAUAAGCACCGGCUAACUACGUG